Molecule: ribosomal RNA, 424 nt
Filed under: uncultured bacterium
Lineage: Bacteria
Description: bacterial SSU rRNA
Rfam family: Bacterial small subunit ribosomal RNA
Source: RNAcentral
UGAGGAAUAUUGGUCAAUGGGCGAGAGCCUGAACCAGCCAAGUAGCGUGAAGGAUGAAGGCUCUAUGGGUCGUAAACUUCUUUUAUAUGGGAAUAAAGUAUUCCACGUGUGGAAUUUUGUAUGUACCAUAUGAAUAAGGAUCGGCUAACUCCGUGCCAGCAGCCGCGGUAAUACGGAGGAUCCGAGCGUUAUCCGGAUUUAUUGGGUUUAAAGGGAGCGUAGGUGGAUUGUUAAGUCAGUUGUGAAAGUUUGCGGCUCAACCGUAAAAUUGCAGUUGAAACUGGGAGUCUUGAGUACAGUAGAGGUGGGCGGAAUUCGUGGUGUAGCGGUGAAAUGCUUAGAUAUCACGAAGAACUCCGAUUGCGAAGGCAGCUCACUAGACUGUUACUGACACUGAUGCUCGAAAGUGUGGGUAUCAAACAGG